UCAAACUUGGUCAUUUAGAGGAAGUAAAAGUCGUAACAAGGUAUCCGUAGGUGAACCUGCGGAUGGAUCAUUACAGAGCUGAGGCAGAUCGCUCAAAGACUGUCUUACCUUUGUGGUUAACGCAUGUAUAAUGGGUGUGCGUGUGCGGUUUGUAGUCCACGGACGGCGCACGCGCAUCACUAGCCAACCUUAUCAUCAUCAUCAUUAGCAACGUCUGAACAUUCAACCUUUGAAUCUUUACACAACUGCUAGCAACGGAUCACUCGGCUCUCGCAUCGAUGAAGAACGCAGC
RNAcentral lists this unclassified non-coding RNA (292 nucleotides) under uncultured fungus. RNAcentral describes it as "partial contains small subunit ribosomal RNA, internal transcribed spacer 1, and 5.8S ribosomal RNA". The stretch from base 1 to 73 matches the Rfam family "Eukaryotic small subunit ribosomal RNA", at positions 1759 to 1831 of the family's 1831-position model. The record is from RNAcentral. Lineage: Eukaryota; Fungi.